GCCGCUGAAGCUGCUUCCACCAGCAGACACCCUGGCUGAGCUGCUGCCGCCAGCCCUGGAGGAGGAGACACGAGUCGAGCGAGGCAUCGUGUUCCUGCAAACGUGAGCUUGUCCAGGCGAAUAGGAGAGUCUGAUAAAAAGAGAGCAACCUCCUUUUUGAGUCACAUUUCAAGAAAUGAAGAGAUGAUGCUGAUACUUCCUGCCUUCGUUUUAAAGGAAACUUGAUGAGAGAGCAAGGGUGAAUCUGUACAAAGAAUUUGACUCUUGAAGAGACAGCUCAGCCCUCAUGUCUGUCUGACAAUGUGUCUUCAGCACCAACUUUUUAUAUGAGAGGUUAUGUACAUUAUCUCCUGUCAGGUGCACAGUGUCUGCAAAAGGAUAGCAAAAUGUAGAUGACCAGCUCUUACCUCUUUAUGGUUCUUUUUGAGGUCAUCAAUUAUCGGGAAAUAUCUGCUAUAGUCAUGAUCAAGACCACGGCAAGAGCCGGGCCCAAAUUUCUCAUACCAGCCCUUGAUCUUCUGCUCCAGGUCAGCGUUGGCCUCCUCCAGAGCACGCACGUUGUCCAGAUCUUCAAUGACUGAGAAGUAUCUGCUAUAGUCAUGAUCGUGUCCCCGGGAAGAGCCAGGCUCACAUUUCUGGUACCAGCCCUUGAUCUUCUGCUCCAGAUCUGCGUUGGCCUCCUCCAGAGCACGCACAUGGUCCAGCCUGGUGUCCUCAGGGGGCAUGAAACCUCUUAUGACGAAGGGAGUCCUUAGGCCACGUACAUGCCGUAAUUCUCAAAGUCAAGCCUUUUGAGCACUGCCAGCUCACACUCUAGAAGGGAAGCCAUUUUUAAUCCUGGCUGGCUUUAAUCCAUUUUGACUGCAUGCUGAUGUUUGAAGUAAGCCAGGAGUUGGUGGUAUGUGCCCAAAUGGCUGAAGGCCUGACUCCCAGGUGUGCCCUCCAGGAUCUGACCUCCACCCUGGACUCUGUGGCGAUGAAGAGCCUGACAGUGCCCAUGUGGCAUUCAGGUAAAGCUUCUCCUGCCUCUUCAUGGUUCUUCUUGAGAUAUGUCAUCUCCUCACUCAGAGACUCAUAUUGCAGCUCCUGGUCAGUCCUGCAGAGUGUCAGUUCGUCCAGGACUCGCCGUAAUCCGUUGAUGUCAGCCUCUACGUUUUGGUGAAGGCAUUUGCCUCCUCCAGAGCUCGCACGUUAUCCAGGUAGGAUGCCAAGCGGUCAUUAAGAUUUUGCAUGGUCACCUUCUCAUUUCCAGAGAGGAGUCCCCCUUCGCUUCCAGCAAAGCCAAUACAAGCAACAUUUCCAAGGGCACCACCAGCAUGGCUCCCACCAGGAACGCUGCCCAAGCCCCCUCCCAAGGCACAGGAAAAUUCACUUCCAGCAACAGAGCUGCCACAUGCACUGCUGCCCGCAAAGCCUGCACCUCCAUUGGGUGGUCUGACAGAUCCAGCUCCAGACCUUAAGCAAACAUGCCUGGAUCCAUUAGAAAAUCGGAGAGACAUGGUGUUUUGAAAAAUGUUCACCUUGUCUGUGUGGAACUGUAAUGUCCCAGGAGAACAAAAUAUCAUGCACUGAUGAUUUCUUUGGGCUUUUAUAUACAACUAUUGGGGCGUUCCUAUUUGAGUUAUAUAUGCCAAAAGAAAAAUGGCAUCACUUAGAUUAGCAUAAAAUUAUGUAUAAUUGAGUGAUUUUAAAAAUAAUUAAUGUCUAACAUCCCUAGGUGUUGCUUUGGGCUAUUUGUUAUCUUAAAUAUAAUAGGGUCUGUUCUAUAUUAAGUUUAUUAAUUUAACUUCUAAUUUUGAGUGAGUAAUCCUUUACUUUCAUCUAGACCCUAGGCACGUACUAUCAUUAUCUGGCGCCAGGUAUUAUCAAAGUUUUUAUAAAGUUAAGUAAGAUUAUGAUAGAGCUCUGUGAGGUACAGUAGGGUCUCAAUUACCACUGAGGGGUAUAAAGGACUGCUAACUACAGAAACAAAUAUUCUACCCCACCAGAAAAAAAUGUGUUAUUUAGAAAACAGAGACUAGUGACAUCUCUGUUCCUACCAUGAUUGUAACAUUUAUUUAUUAUCUUGGACAAUGACACAAAUAUUGACCUAUUAUUUUGUUUAAGAUAGCAUAGUUAUGAUGUCUGGUGCUCUAUGCUAAGUGCUAAAAUGAAAGACAUAGUGCUAACUAAAUGCAGAAAUGAAAAAUGCAUGAUUACCAUCUUUAAGAAAUCUAUUGUCAGAUUCAGACAGGGGCUGGCUCAUGGUUAGCCUUCUGUGCUGGUCUAAAGAGUUUGUAAUGAAUCCUAAGUAGAAAGCAGAGGGCAACAUGAUCAUGUUGAAAUGAAACAAGGUGGACAAUUACAAGGUUGGAACAAUGGUCCAGGUGAGAAGAAUGAAGGCAGUGGGGAUGCAGAGAAAAUGGCUUUGAGAGCAUAUGGUAAUAUGAUUGAAUUUGGAGAGUAGGGAAUAAGGCAGAAUUGGGGAUAACUCUUAGGUAAUUAAUUUUAGAUUCUGGGAAUUCAUAAUAUUCACUGAGAUGGGGAAUAGAGGAGGAGGAAGACACUGAGUUUAGGUUUGGACCAACUGGAUUUGAGGGGUUGCUAGAAUGUUGCAGAUGAGAUGAAGGUGGCUGAUAGAAAGAAUGACCGUUUAGAAUAUGUACACUGAACUGGAAAAAUACUUGACUCGCAAUGAGUAAAAGAAAAUUGGAGGUCCAGCUCUCAUUCAUAAUGACGUUCAACUGCAUGUUUGGAAGUAAUCCUGGUGCAGGAAUAGAAAGGAUGAUGAUCAGACUGAUGUGGGUUCAACUGCAUGUUUGGAAGUGAUCCUGGUGCAGGAAUAGAAAGGAUGAUGAUCAGACUGAUGUGGGUUUUGGGAUUUGAAGACAGGUCCAGAAGAAGGAAACAGUGGCAAAGAAGUUUCUGGUGUUCUUGAGAAAACGGUUGAGGCGAUUGACUGUAUGAUCAUAUAGCAAGAAGAAAGUAAAAUCAGAGGGACAGAUGGACUGAAGAAAAGGGCAGAGGGUGAGUCAUUGGGCAUCCUUAUGAGGUCAUGGAGCAGGCGGAGUGUGAGGGGGAGAUUGAUAAAGGUGAAGGAUGACAGGCUAAAGUUGGAUAGUGGAAACCAGAAUUUAGAAUUUUAAAGUAGGCACAACUCCAGGUGUCACCAAAGUCCAGAGAGUAGUCAUGGGACUGGACCAACAGUCACUGAUACAAGAAGUCAGAAGUGGAUUGGACCUGAAAGGCAAGAGAGUAGGAGGUCAGGAACUAUCUGUCUAUGACGUUAAAUGGACCAUCUGUAAAGGCAUGAACUUUCUCAUGAUGGCAGGAGACGAGAAGGCAGUGGGCUGUGAGCCAGUGUCAAGGUUUUUGGACAAUGAGGCGGAGGGGAGUGUGUGUAGUGAGGGGUCGUUGAAUGGCGUUUGCCUCAAAAGAGGAGUCUUAGCAUAAGAAUUAAGUGGCACAAAGCUAGAUGUGGCAUUGGGGAUCUAGAGAACACAGACUCUGCCUUGAAGUCCUUAUGUUAGGUGUGUGGAAGUGGGAGCAGAAGAGUAGAUGGAGGUGAAGAAGGAGGAUGGAGAGGAGAUGAGAG
Molecule: long non-coding RNA, 3574 nt
Organism: Piliocolobus tephrosceles (Ugandan red Colobus)
Lineage: Eukaryota; Metazoa; Chordata; Mammalia; Primates; Cercopithecidae
Exons: 8
Source: RefSeq, a predicted model, not a curated record